Molecule: ribosomal RNA, 665 nt
Filed under: Bacillus sp. CQC8
Lineage: Bacteria; Bacillati; Bacillota; Bacilli; Caryophanales; Bacillaceae
Description: bacterial SSU rRNA
Rfam family: Bacterial small subunit ribosomal RNA
Source: RNAcentral
ACACAGCUGAUCCCUUCGGGGUGACGCUUGUGGAAUGAGCGGCGGACGGGUGAGUAACACGUGGGCAACCUGCCUUGUAGACUGGGAUAACUCCGGGAAACCGGAGCUAAUACCGGAUGACCAACGGAAUCGCAUGAUUCUGUUGUAAAAGUGGGGAUUUAUCCUCACACUACGAGAUGGGCCCGCGGCGCAUUAGCUAGUUGGUAAGGUAAUGGCUUACCAAGGCAACGAUGCGUAGCCGACCUGAGAGGGUGAUCGGCCACACUGGAACUGAGACACGGUCCAGACUCCUACGGGAGGCAGCAGUAGGGAAUCAUCCGCAAUGGGCGAAAGCCUGACGGUGCAACGCCGCGUGAACGAUGAAGGUUUUCGGAUCGUAAAGUUCUGUUAUGAGGGAAGAACAAGUGCCGUUCGAAUAGGGCGGCACCUUGACGGUACCUCACGAGAAAGCCCCGGCUAACUACGUGCCAGCAGCCGCGGUAAUACGUAGGGGGCAAGCGUUGUCCGGAAUUAUUGGGCGUAAAGCGCGCGCAGGCGGUCUCUUAAGUCUGAUGUGAAAGCCCACGGCUCAACCGUGGAGGGUCAUUGGAAACUGGGGGACUUGAGUGUAGGAGAGGAAAGUGGAAUUCCACGUGUAGCGGUGAAAUGCGUAGAUAUGUGGAGGA